GCCGGGAUAGCUCAGUUGGUAGAGCAGGGGACUGAAAAUCCUCGUGUCACCAGUCCCAAUAAAGGCCGAGC
This 71-nucleotide transfer RNA is filed under the name Cheilolejeunea quinquecarinata. Its description in RNAcentral is "Aureolejeunea quinquecarinata partial tRNA-Phe". The stretch from base 1 to 61 matches the Rfam family "tRNA". Rfam says of the family: Transfer RNA (tRNA) molecules are approximately 80 nucleotides in length. Their secondary structure includes four short double-helical elements and three loops (D, anti-codon, and T loops). The record is from RNAcentral. Lineage: Eukaryota; Viridiplantae; Streptophyta; Jungermanniopsida; Porellales; Lejeuneaceae.